AAAGGGAUAGCUGGGUCAAAUGGUGGUUCCAAUCUCAAUUUUCCAAGAAAUCUCCAUACUGCUUUUCAUAUUGACUGCACCAAUUUGCAGUCCCACCAGCAAU
This 103-nucleotide microRNA precursor is filed under the name Marmota monax (woodchuck). The record is from RNAcentral. Lineage: Eukaryota; Metazoa; Chordata; Mammalia; Rodentia; Sciuridae.